Molecule: long non-coding RNA, 1424 nt
Filed under: Brassica rapa (field mustard)
Lineage: Eukaryota; Viridiplantae; Streptophyta; Magnoliopsida; Brassicales; Brassicaceae
Description: long non-coding RNA (BRAP_LNC007642)
Source: RNAcentral
AUAUAUCGUUUUUAAGGCAUGAGCUAAAUAGCAGAACAUUUGACUUGUUUACUUGUGGACAUGUAAUAGAUAAGUUGAGGUGAGUUAAUAUAUAGUGUUUGAAUGGUUUUUAGCUACUUGUUUCUUGAUCAUUUAGGUUUUUUUUCUCGCGCAUUAAGAUGUUUUGGUGAAUAUACAUGUCCAUUUGAGUGCAUUAAUUCUUGGAGUGGUUCCAUUGGAGUUUGGAGCGGUUUGGGACGGAAUAGAGCAGAAAACAAAGAAAUGAGUGAAGGAAUGGCUUGGUGUGCAGACAUUGGCAACAGAUGAAAGGAGGCCAUGAUGGCUAUAAGCUGGUUUGGGGGGGGGGGGGGGGUGUUGUCGUGGUAAGGAUCUGGCCACCGCAGAGGAGCUUUUGUGGUAGAGAAAUAGUAUUGGAUGUAGGUUGAUCGCAGGCUUAUAUCAUGGUUGAGAGCGGGUGGCAAAGGUACAAGACGGCUGCAGGUGACCAACGAGGCUGGAACAAGGUCGCCGAUGAGAAAUUGGAUCUUGGUCGAGAGAGUGCAAUUUUAGAUAGGUGAUUCUGUGAUCCAAGUUUGUGGAAGAUGUUGGCCAUACUAUUUGAAUACUCGUUACGGGAAAGGCCAUGGCGCGAUUAUGAAGGAAGGCAGGCCACAUGACACAGAUGGGGGUCAAAUCAGGGCGCGACCAAGAAACGAUGGAUCAACAAGAUGGGCCCGCGGUCUAUGGCCGAGGUUAAAGCAGGCUGUGAGGGAAGAAGUAUGGCCACAGGUGGAUAUCGAAGAUGGGAGCAGACUGCUGUCGGCAUGACGGGCAGAUUUUAACUAUGAAUGUUGGGUUGACCUGGUAUGACUUUUAGAUUUUGUCUAUAAAUUUCAGAAGAAAACUAGAUCUUACUCUUUUUUUUAAAGAAAAGUUGCUACAAUUGUUAAAGUUUGGAUAUUUUAUCUUUUUUUUUUUUAUCUUUUUGUAAGUUUAAUUGUGAUUAACUACUUGUCUAGUAUGUUUAUCCCUAAUUGUUUCAUGUGUUUAAGAGAUUUCAUGAUAAUUAGUGAGUAUUCACUUGAUAGACUUAUGAGUUAGAAUGAUAAGGUUGAUUUGUAAUGAUGUAGGAUGAUUUGUGCUUAAUAUAUAUGAUCCUUACUUGAUUGGUGUUUUCAUGAUAAACUAGGGUUGAAAACCCAUAAAUCUAGAUUUUAGGUUUUUUUUGUUCACGGAAGGUGUUCCGUGAAAUACUUGAAUGAAAUAUUCUUAUUGCUUAGCAUCUUAGGCCUAUGGAAAUUGAUUCAUAAAAUCAUUUGUGGUUGAAUGGAGUUAGAAUAAUGCAUACUUACUUAUAAUUAACCAAUGAAAUUGAUGUUAGUUAACUAAUGUAUGGAUUACGAUCAUGAAGGGGAUUAAUUUUCUUGUGUGUUCCUAAACCUAAG